AUGAACGCUGGCGGCGUGCCUAAUACAUGCAAGUCGAGCGAACAGACGAGGAGCUUGCUCCUCUGACGUUAGCGGCGGACGGGUGAGUAACACGUGGAUAACCUACCUAUAAGACUGGGAUAACUUCGGGAAACCGGAGCUAAUACCGGAUAACAUGUUGAACCGCAUGGUUUAACAGUGAAAGACGGUCUUGCUGUCACUUAUAGAUGGAUCCGCGCCGCAUUAGCUAGUUGGUAAGGUAACGGCUUACCAAGGCAGCGAUGCGUAGCCGACCUGAGAGGGUGAUCGGCCACACUGGAACUGAGACACGGUCCAGACUCCUACGGGAGGCAGCAGUAGGGAAUCUUCCGCAAUGGGCGAAAGCCUGACGGAGCAACGCCGCGUGAGUGAAGAAGGUCUUCGGAUCGUAAAACUCUGUUAUUAGGGAAGAACAAAUGUGUAAGUAACUAUGCACGUCUUGACGGUACCGAAUCAGAAGCCACGGCUAACUACGUG
Molecule: ribosomal RNA, 495 nt
Filed under: uncultured bacterium
Lineage: Bacteria
Description: partial 16S ribosomal RNA
Rfam family: Bacterial small subunit ribosomal RNA
Source: RNAcentral